RNAcentral lists this ribosomal RNA (465 nucleotides) under uncultured bacterium. RNAcentral describes it as "partial 16S ribosomal RNA". It matches the Rfam family "Bacterial small subunit ribosomal RNA", at positions 28 to 507 of the family's 1533-position model. The record is from RNAcentral.
GACGAACGCUGGCGGCGUGCUUAACACAUGCAAGUCGAACGGAAAGGCCCUGCUUGCAGGGUACUCGAGUGGCGAACGGGUGAGUAACACGUGGGUGAUCUGCCCUGCACUUCGGGAUAAGCCUGGGAAACUGGGUCUAAUACCGGAUAGGAGCCAUUUUUAGUGUGAGGGUUGGAAAGUUUUUUGGGUGUAGGGUGAGCUCGCGGCCUAUCAGCUUGUUGGUGGGGUGAUGGCCUACCAAGGCGGCGACGGGUAGCCGGCCUGGGAGGGUGGACGGCCACAUUUGGGCUGGGGUACGGCCCAGACUCCUACGGGGGGCAGCAGGGGGGAAUAUUGCACAAUGGGCGCAAGCCUGAUGCAGCGACGCCGCGUGGGGGAUGACGGCCUUCGGGUUGUAAACUCCUUUCGCUAGGGACGAAGCUUUUUGUGACGGUACCUAGAUAAGAAGCACCGGCUAACUACGUG